GACGAACGCUGGCGGCGUGCUUAACACAUGCAAGUCGAACGGAAAGGCCCUGCUUUUGUGGGGUGCUCGAGUGGCGAACGGGUGAGUAACACGUGAGUAACCUGCCCUUGACUUUGGGAUAACUUCAGGAAACUGGGGCUAAUACCGGAUAGGAGCUCCUGCUGCAUGGUGGGGGUUGGAAAGUUUCGGCGGGUGGGGCUGGACUCGCGGCUUAUCAGCUUGUUGGUGGGGUAGUGGCUUACCAAGGCUUUGACGGGUAGCCGGCCUGAGAGGGUGACCGGCCACAUUGGGACUGAGAUACGGCCCAGACUCCUACGGGAGGCAGCAGUGGGGAAUAUUGCACAAUGGGCGGAAGCCUGAUGCAGCAACGCCGCGUGCGGGAUGACGGCCUUCGGGUUGUAAACCGCUUUCGCCUGUGACGAAGCGUGAGUGACGGUAAUGGGUAAAGAAGCACCGGCUAACUACGUG
Molecule: ribosomal RNA, 468 nt
Filed under: uncultured bacterium
Lineage: Bacteria
Description: partial 16S ribosomal RNA
Rfam family: Bacterial small subunit ribosomal RNA
Source: RNAcentral